AAGCGUUUUCUUGGGCUCGCGGCCGGUAGAAGUUCUCUGGAACAGGACAUCAUAGAGGGUGACAAUCCCGUCCGUGACCGGUCGUGCGUUCAUCUACGAUACGCUUUCAAAGAGUCGAGUUGUUUGGGAUUGCAGCUCCAAAUGGGUGGUAAACAUCACCUAAGGCUAAAUAUUGGCGAGAGACCGAUAGCGAACAAGUACCGUGAGGGAAAGAUGAAAAGAACUUUGAAAAGAGAGUUAAACAGUACGUGAAAUUGUUGAAAGGGAAACGAUUGAAGUCAGUCGUGCUGGCGCGAAAUCAACCAUCUCGUCUUGAGGUCGCAUGGCGCGACGAGCCUCAAAACCGUCACGGAGUGUGAACUCUUGACGAAAAGGUGCACUUUCGUGUCCGCUGGUUAACAUCAAUUUCGACCGUCAUAAAAAGGCUGGAGGGAUGUGGCUCCUUCGGGAGUGUUAUAACCUUUAGCGGAAUGUGGUGUUCGGAAUUGAGGAUUGCAACGAAUACCUUCAGGGCUGUUCCACCUGGCUUCUCAUUGGUAUCCUGGUGACGACAGCUUGC
Molecule: ribosomal RNA, 559 nt
Filed under: uncultured Glomus
Lineage: Eukaryota; Fungi; Glomeromycota; Glomeromycetes; Glomerales; Glomeraceae
Description: eukaryotic LSU rRNA
Rfam family: Eukaryotic large subunit ribosomal RNA
Source: RNAcentral